UCAGGAGGCAUCUUUGACUGAGAUCUCAGUUUUGAGCCCCACAUCAGGAAUAUAACAAAGACAGCAUUUUAUCAUCUAAAGAACAUUGACAGAGUACGACCAUUCCUCUCUCAAGCCAGUACAGAGACACUACUACACGCUUUUACUACUUCCACAAUUGACUAUUGUAAUGCUGCAGGAAGUGGUGAUACUUUUAAAAUUAAACUCAAGACCUACCUUUUUAGUCUGGCUUUUAAUUUAAUUUAUUCUUUCAAGCUGUUUUACUGGUUUGCCCUUUUUUUUUUGAUUAUUUUCUGACUUUUAUUUUUAUUUUGGACUUUUAAUACCUCACACAGUGACCGUUAAAUUAUUCCACUGCACUUGUUGCUGCGACACCAAUUUGUUUGUUUAUCGCCGGAUUUCAUCCUGUCAUUGUUGCUAAAUACAGUUUGCAGCUUCACUGUAAAACCUGUCAACAGUUUUAUGUUCAACUGGAGCAACUGACUUCUUCUCCAGAGACCUGUCCAACUGUUUCAUAGUUUCACAGUCCAGAGGCAGCUGAUAAAGAGCAGGAAGGAAAGAAAACAUUUCACUGCAUUUCAUUACAUGUACAAACAUGUAAUCAGGGGGAUUAUAAUGUAUUCAGUGUGUUUAGCUUUUGAAUUUUGUUGCCUUAGUUUCUUUUCAGUCUGCCACUUAACUGUGUGUAGUUUGACCUUUUUCUAUGGAUGACCUUUAAAAUAUUGUGCUACUGUUUAUUCUGUAUUUGUGUGUCUGUGUUCAGUGACACUGCUGCCAUCAGUCGAGGCAACAACAUCAGAGAGAAAAUUUCCUGUUUUUCUGUCCUUCACCAACCAACUGAACUAACGGUCGAUCUGAUCCCAGAGCAGUCUGUCUCCUCUGGAGACUGUUGGUUUUCUGCUCCAACAGUUUCUCAUGUUUCUGUUUUCCAGACAAAACAUCUCCUGAUGACAGACGUUCACUCACUGAGAAGAUCUACAGGCUUCGGACUGACAGCAGCAAACACCACCACGGACAUCAGCAUCGUCCUGGAUUCAGACCAGGACCAGGACCAGGACCAGGACCAGGACCGUGUCAGAGCCGUCCCUGUGCUGAUUGUUGAGACAGAGAGGAAGACAAGUCUUCAGGAUGGACCCGGCAGUGACCUUCAUCAUCCUCCUGGGGUGAGGCUCCACACAAACUGAUCAACUGCUCCUUUAACUGAUGAUGAUGAUGAUAAUGAUGAUGAUGAUGAUGAUGAUGAUUAAGAACUGCUCCUUUAAUACCGUGUGUGUGUGUGUGUGUGUGUGUGUGUGUGUGUGUGUGUGUGUGUGUGUGUGUGUGUGUGUGUGUGUGUGUGUGUGUGUGUGUGUGUGUCCUCCCUGCUGCUGUAGAUGUUGUGUGUGGACCAGAGGACAGUCUGUCUCUUUCUCCAUGGUCUUCAGCGCAGGGAUUGAGCUGCUGGUGCACACUGGUGAACAAACAGCUGACCGUGAUGAUAUUCAUCAUCAGAACAAGACAAAUGGUUCCUCAUCUUCCUCAUCCUCCGUUCGUCCGACGGCUCAGAUCGUGUCCUUGGUCCGGGUCUCUCAGGAUCCAGGAUCUCCUCACUUGCUGGUCUGCGUC
Seriola aureovittata is the source of this 1605-nucleotide long non-coding RNA. RefSeq lists it as uncharacterized. Lineage: Eukaryota; Metazoa; Chordata; Actinopteri; Carangiformes; Carangidae. The transcript is spliced from 3 exons. The record is from RefSeq and is a predicted model, not a curated record.